Molecule: non-coding RNA, 30 nt
Filed under: Homo sapiens (human)
Lineage: Eukaryota; Metazoa; Chordata; Mammalia; Primates; Hominidae
Source: RNAcentral
GACAAAUGGUGUGCAUACCCCACCUCACGU